AAGUCGUAACAAGGUUUCCGUAGGUGAACCUGCGGAAGGAUCAUUACCGGGGUUCAUCCUGCUCUGCAGGAACUCCCACCCUUGAUUACAUAUAGCGUUGCUUCGGCGAGACGCUGGAACAGCCAAUUGACCUCUCACGUCGAUGCGUGCUCGCCGGAGUUUCAUACUCUACAUUAUGUGUCGUCAGAGAAUCAAAAUCUAAAGA
This 205-nucleotide unclassified non-coding RNA is filed under the name plant metagenome. RNAcentral describes it as "partial contains small subunit ribosomal RNA and internal transcribed spacer 1". The stretch from base 1 to 46 matches the Rfam family "Eukaryotic small subunit ribosomal RNA", at positions 1786 to 1831 of the family's 1831-position model. The record is from RNAcentral.